Long non-coding RNA from Ctenopharyngodon idella (grass carp), 1216 nucleotides. RefSeq lists it as uncharacterized. NCBI's taxonomy places the organism in Eukaryota, Metazoa, Chordata, Actinopteri, Cypriniformes, Xenocyprididae. The record is from RefSeq and is a predicted model, not a curated record. The transcript is spliced from 3 exons.
AUUUUAUGUGAUAUUUUGGUGUGAUAUAUUUAGUAAAUAACGAAUGAAGAAAAAAAAAUCUUUUUAAAGAUGUACACUACCAUUCAAAAGUUGUCUUUAAUCAAAACAAUAAUAUUGUGAAUUUUUAUUUUAUUAUUAUUAUUAUUACUAUUUAUUUUAAAUGUAAUUUAUUUAUUUAAAUUUAAAUGAUUACAUUUAUUUUAGCUGUUAUGGCAAAGGCCCAUUUUCAGCAGCCACUGGUAGUUUGUCUGAUGGGCUUGUGUUGCUCGAUCUUUCUCUGCAAAACACCCCAAGUAUGUUUUUUUGGAUUAAAGCCAGGCGACUGUCACAAUCUCCUUUCACCAGUCCAAUCACCUCUAUGCACUACAUUUCCCAUGAUCCUCCCUGGUCACCACCUGCUCACUAUGCUCAAUCAUCACACCUGUUUACCAUCAGCCUCAUCAAUACUGCUGUAAAAGCCUACACCAAAGGACUCUGUCCGGUCUCGUCGUAUCUACCAUAUGCUACUGAUGACCUAGCGGUGAUUUGUCUUCAGUCACUUUCAGCCGGGGUCCGGUUCUCCUUUAUCCUGUUCAGUAUCUCUAUCUGCAAAGACAAAGAAAAGAUUUCCAAAAGAUUGAUUUGAUCAUUAUUGCUAUAUCAGGUCAGCACAUCCUGCAGGUCUGGAAUGCCGGGCACGGGUAACAUCUCUGCACUGAACGUCAUUGCUGUGGAAGCGUACACACGUGAGGCUUGUAUGGUGGAUGCCAUUGGGCUGAAGAUGCUCACAAACCAGAAAAGAGGAGACUACUAUGGUGUUGUGUCAACUUAGUCUGUACGGCGAAAACGGGAGUUAGGCGUUCACCUGCUUUAUCGGGCGAUGCAGAUCUUCUUAGAUGGAGAACGACAGCUCCGACCCGCCGACAUCAGAUGAACCAUCGACACUGUGGCAUUACAGAAAACUGUAAUACUGAAGCAUAUGCAUACGCUCUUUACUAUUCCAAAAACAUUGACAUAUUGCUAUUGUUUUAUCAAUAAAUAUCAGCACUUUAUCAUUGACCGAGGACCAGCUACUGUGCAGCUGCAGAGAAAUUAUUACUUUAAGAAUUCAGAAAAUAACAAAAUACAAACCACAGAAGAUCAGCAGUUCGGAUUCCAAAUUUCAUUAAAUGUUUAUUUUUAAAUCUUUUUUUAAAUGUAUUGAAAUAAUUUUAAUGCAUAAAAUGAGCAACAUGCA